GCCGACUUAGUUCGGUAAUCAGAGCAGGUGGCUUGUAACAUCAGGUCACCAGUUCGAUUCCGGUAGUCGGCACCA
Molecule: transfer RNA, 75 nt
Filed under: Escherichia coli
Lineage: Bacteria; Pseudomonadati; Pseudomonadota; Gammaproteobacteria; Enterobacterales; Enterobacteriaceae
Description: tRNA-OTHER
Rfam family: tRNA
About the family: Transfer RNA (tRNA) molecules are approximately 80 nucleotides in length. Their secondary structure includes four short double-helical elements and three loops (D, anti-codon, and T loops). Further hydrogen bonds mediate the characteristic L-shaped molecular structure. tRNAs have two regions of fundamental functional importance: the anti-codon, which is responsible for specific mRNA codon recognition, and the 3' end, to which the tRNAs corresponding amino acid is attached (by aminoacyl-tRNA synthetases). tRNAs cope with the degeneracy of the genetic code in two manners: having more than one tRNA (with a specific anti-codon) for a particular amino acid; and 'wobble' base-pairing, i.e. permitting non-standard base-pairing at the 3rd anti-codon position.
Source: RNAcentral